UCACUAAGCUGUAACUGACGCUCAUGCACGAAAGCGUGGGGAUCAAACAGGAUUAGAUACCCUGGUAGUCCACGCUGUAAACGAUGAUCACUCGUUGUUGGCGAUAUACUGUCAGCGACUGAGCGAAAGCAUUAAGUGAUCCACCUGGGGAGUACGGCGGCAACGUUGAAACUCAAAGGAAUUGACGGGGGCCCGCACAAGCGGAGGAGCAUGUGGUUUAAUUCGAUGAUACGCGAGGAACCUUACCUGGGCUUAAAUGUAGGACGACUUCUGCCGAAAGGCGGAUUUCCUUCGGGACGUCUUACAAGGUGCUGCAUGGUUGUCGUCAGCUCGUGCCGUGAGGUGUCGGGUUAAGUCCCAUAACGAGCGCAACCCUUAUCAUUAGUUGCCAUCAGGUAAUGCUGGGAACUCUAAUGAAACUGCCUACGCAAGUAGUGAGGAAGGUGGGGAUGACGUCAAAUCAGCACGGCCCUUAUGUCCAGGGCGACACACGUGCUACAAUGGCCAGUACAGAGGGUUGUUACCAGGCGACUGGAUGCUAAUCUCGAAAGCUGGCCUCAGUUCGGAUCGAAGUCUGCAACUCGACUUCGUGAAGUUGGAUUCGCUAGUAAUCGCGCAUCAGCCAUGGCGCGGUGAAUACGUUCCCGGGCCUUGUACACACCGCCCGUCAAGCCAUGGGAGUUGGGGGUACCUAAAGUCCGUAACCGUAAGGAGCGGCCUAGGGUAAAACCAAUGACUGGGGCUAAGUCGUAACAAGGUAGCCGUA
Molecule: ribosomal RNA, 766 nt
Filed under: uncultured bacterium
Lineage: Bacteria
Description: bacterial SSU rRNA
Rfam family: Bacterial small subunit ribosomal RNA
Source: RNAcentral